This 424-nucleotide ribosomal RNA is filed under the name uncultured bacterium. RNAcentral's name for it is "partial 16S ribosomal RNA". It matches the Rfam family "Bacterial small subunit ribosomal RNA", at positions 360 to 776 of the family's 1533-position model. The record is from RNAcentral.
AAUAUUGGACAAUGGGCGAAAGCCUGAUCCAGCCAUGCCGCGUGUGUGAAGAAGGUCUUCGGAUUGUAAAGCACUUUAAGUUGGGAGGAAGGGUUGUAGGUUAAUACCCUGCAAUUUUGACGUUACCAACAGAAUAAGCACCGGCUAACUUCGUGCCAGCAGCCGCGGUAAUACGAAGGGUGCAAGCGUUAAUCGGAAUUACUGGGCGUAAAGCCGGCGUAGGUGGUUCGUUAAAUUGGAAAGGGAAGCCCCCGGCUUAACCUGGGAAUUGCUUUCAAAACUGACGGGCUAAAGUACGGUAGAGGGUAGUGGAAUUUCCUUUUUAGCGGUGAAAUGCGUAAAUAUAGGAAGGAACAUCAGGGGCGAAGGCGACUACCUUGACCGAUACUUACACUGAGGUGCGAAAGCGUGGGGAGCAAACAGG